AAAUAAAAAAUCAAAUCAAAUCAAAACAAAAAAUAGAGUGAAAAAAAAAAAGGGGUCGGAUUGUGUAAGCGGAUCAUGCGCGGAUCCAAGACGAGUUCACUCGGGUCCUGGAUCGGUUCAGAAACAAACCACGGGUCUUAAAUGGGUCAAAGGAACUAGGUUCCUUAGCAUCCAAUGCUACGCCAUUUUACCUUUGUAUUUAACCAAAAAAUCAGACUACUUCCUCCAUUUUCCCAUUUUUAGUUUCUUUCCCUAACCCUAAAAACUCUCUCUUCUCUCUAAUAUGCUCUUCUUUCAAACCCAGAAAUCAACUAGUCUUUUUCCAGAAUCUAGUGCGCCUUCGCCAUUGUCACCGUUAUGGGUAUUCGGUAACCGUCUCCGCUGAGCCUCUUACUGGAUCGAAAUUUCAACCACCAAAUGAGACCGUUGUUCCCUUCUCUCUACAAACCGGAGCCAGAGACUUCGAUGCUUUCCAAGAAUCCAUGCUUUUCCGUCACUUUCACCACCGCAGGUUUUCAGUAAUGGCCUCUGCCGACCUUCGUCCUUCUGUUUAGUUUUUUGCCCGAAACCCAACUUUUGCAAACAAGUUCAAACCAAAACCCGAAAUCAAAGACACUGUUUGAAUUUUCUUGCAACUUUUAUUCUGUUGUAUAACUGCUUCUAUUCUAUAUUGUGCUUGAUGAUUGCAUGCUGAUCAAUAUCUGAUUAAGGCUCACGGUUUGCUGGGAUUUCUAUUUGACACUUCUGGGUUACUGACUAAUUCUAGAUCUUCCUUAACCAAGAAUUCCUUGGCCUUGCUUAGGCUGCUUGGUGUUCUAGAAAUUGAUUGGAAGCUGUUGAUUACUCUAUGUUGUGCCGAUUACUUCUUAAUGGUGUUCUGUUUUGAUGAUGAUGGUGAUUAGGUGCCAGAUGUGGAGGCUUAGUGCGUGCUGGUAAUUUAGUUGAUGGAUGGCCUCUUCCAAUUUUUUGUGUGCUGGUGGUUUAUAAAGGGAUUUAAUACCUUUCAAUCUGAAAAAUCAAUCAACCAAUUUGUGUUGAAUGUGAUUUGAUUUGAUUUAAUUUUAAUGUUAAUUGAUUAUAAAAUUAAAUCCCAAACAUCUCUCAAAAUCAUCUUCACCCGAUUUCAUUAAAACUUUUCUUUUUUUAACUUUUUUUUAGAAAAAAGUAAAAUUAGACAAAAAAUUAAGUUAAAAAUAAAAAAUUUCAAUUGGGCUUAAAGCUUCUCAAGCGGAUUCAAUUUAUGGCCAAAGUUUGGUUUUGAUUUUGAAAAAAUUUUCGAAUAAAAUGGGGCAUUUAUAGUUGUUCAUUUUGUAUGUUUUGUAAAAUAGAAAUUACACAAAAAUGUAGACAAUCAUUAUGUUUGGUUGAACUUAGCGAUCUUGUAAACAAAGGUAAAUAAAUUUAAAUUAAGAAAUGAGUUUAUCUAAAUAGAGAUUAAACAAUUUUAAAAUGAA
This is a long non-coding RNA of Durio zibethinus, 1454 nucleotides long. RefSeq lists it as uncharacterized. Lineage: Eukaryota; Viridiplantae; Streptophyta; Magnoliopsida; Malvales; Malvaceae. The record is from RefSeq and is a predicted model, not a curated record.